This 494-nucleotide ribosomal RNA is filed under the name uncultured bacterium. RNAcentral's name for it is "partial 16S ribosomal RNA". It matches the Rfam family "Bacterial small subunit ribosomal RNA", at positions 28 to 507 of the family's 1533-position model. The record is from RNAcentral.
GACGAACGCUGGCGGCGUGCUUAACACAUGCAAGUCGAACGGAAGGGCCUGCUUUCCCUUGUGGAUUGCGGGUACUCGAGUGGCGAACGGGUGAGUAACACGUGAGUGAUCUGCCCCCAACUUGGGUAUAAGCCUGGGAAACUGGGUCUAAUUCCCGAUAGGACUGCAGGGUGGUGCCUGUGGUGGAAAACGAUUUUCUAGUGGUUGGGGAUGAGCUCGCGGCCUAUCAGCUUGUUGGUGGGGUAAUGGCCUACCAAGGCGGCGACGGGUAGCCGGCCUGAGAGGGUGGACGGCCACAUUGGGACUGAGAUACGGCCCAGACUCCUACGGGGGGCAGCAGUGGGGAAUAUUGCACAAUGGGCGGAAGCCUGAUGCAGCGACGCCGCGUGGGGGAUGACGGCCUUCGGGUUGUAAACUCCUUUCGACCGCGAGGAAGCCACCUGGUUGGAAGGGUGGUGACGGUAGUGGUAGAAGAAGCACCGGCUAACUACGUG